RNAcentral lists this long non-coding RNA (549 nucleotides) under Zonotrichia albicollis (white-throated sparrow). RNAcentral's name for it is "lncRNA (ENSZALG00000000069.1)". The record is from RNAcentral. Lineage: Eukaryota; Metazoa; Chordata; Aves; Passeriformes; Passerellidae.
UUGGGGAGCCCUGAAUUUUGGGGGGAUUUUUGGGUGGAUUUUUAGGGGUUUUUGGGGUAUUUCUGGCUGGUUCCUGAGUGGGUUUUUUUGCUAUUUUUGGGAUAUUUCUGGGUGGAUUUUUUGCUAUUUUUGGGGUAUUUCUGGAUGGAUUUUUUGCUAUUUUUGGGAUAUUUCUGGCUGGAUUUUUUGCUAUUUUUGGGAUAUUUCUGGAUGGAUUUUUUGGGAUUUUUGGGAUAUUUCUGGGUGGAUUUUUUUGCUAUUUCUGGGCUAUUUCUGGGAUAUUUCUGGGUGGAUUUUUUGCUAUGUUUGGGGUAUUUCUGGGUGGAUUUUUUGGGUUUUUCUGGGUGGAUUUUUGCUAUUUUUGGGAUAUUUCUGGGUGGAUUUUUUUGCUAUUUUUGGGAUAUUUCUGGGUGGAUUUUUUUGCUAUUUUUGGGAUAUUUCUGGGUGGAUUUUUUUGCUAUUUCUGGGAUAUUUCUGGGUGGAUUUUUUUGCUAUUUCUGGGUGGAUUUUUUUGCUAUUUUUGGGAUAUUUCUGGGUGGAUUUUUUUGC